Molecule: long non-coding RNA, 511 nt
Organism: Orcinus orca (killer whale)
Lineage: Eukaryota; Metazoa; Chordata; Mammalia; Artiodactyla; Delphinidae
Exons: 3
Source: RefSeq, a predicted model, not a curated record
ACAAUAUGAAGGAUUUCAGCUGUAACUCUUUUGGAAAAAGGAGAGGAGUGAGGCACGUUGGGGACUUCAUGAAGGUGGGUAAUAUUUUAUUAAGGAACAAAGAAAACUGGACUAGAUAUUCUCUCUGGCAGGAUGAAGAAGGCGGACAACUCUGAGCAAUUUCGAGUUGAUUUUCAGUCAUGAAAGUAAAUGUUUUUGUAACUAGAUUUUUGAAAGACAAUUUUAUAAGAACGUAUACAUGAUGGUAUAGUAGAACAGACUGCUGGAAUUUGACAACAAAUCCUUUGGAUUUCAAGGGGGUUCAAGGCAAGAGAACUUAGUGCUAAACAAAAUAAUGAUUUUUUUUAUCACUACACAGUCUUUUCCUAAUCUCCCAGAUUACAACCCAGAGAGGUUUCGUUUUUGUUUUUUUUUCCUUUAUUUAUCAUUAGACCAGUAUUUCUUCUCUGCUUAAUUCCCUGUAUCUGAGAUGCCUUUUCACAUGGAUAGGAGUCUCAAACAAUUCAUUCUU